GACAGAGGUGCCGAGCGUUUAGGCGGAAUCACUGGGCUUAAAGCGUGUGUAGGCGGAUUUGUAAGUACCUUGUGAAAUCCCACGGCUCAACCGUGGAACUGCUCGGUAUACUGCUUAUCUUGAGCCACUUAGGGGCAGUCGGAACAGAUGGUGGAGCGGUGAAAUGCGUAGAUAUCAUCUGGAACGCCAAAGGUGAAAACAGGUUGCUGGGGGUGUGCUGACGCUGGAGACACGAAAGCCAGGGGAGCGAACGGG
This 255-nucleotide ribosomal RNA is filed under the name uncultured bacterium. RNAcentral describes it as "partial 16S ribosomal RNA". It matches the Rfam family "Bacterial small subunit ribosomal RNA", at positions 524 to 776 of the family's 1533-position model. The record is from RNAcentral.